RNAcentral lists this transfer RNA (66 nucleotides) under Deraeocoris sp. RNAcentral's name for it is "tRNA-Ser". It matches the Rfam family "tRNA". Rfam says of the family: Transfer RNA (tRNA) molecules are approximately 80 nucleotides in length. Their secondary structure includes four short double-helical elements and three loops (D, anti-codon, and T loops). Lineage: Eukaryota; Metazoa; Arthropoda; Insecta; Hemiptera; Miridae. The record is from RNAcentral.
AGCUUAUAAGCUUUAAAAGCAUAUAUUUUGAAAAUAUAAGAAAAAGGUUUAAACCUUUAUUAGCUU